This 253-nucleotide ribosomal RNA is filed under the name uncultured bacterium. RNAcentral describes it as "partial 16S ribosomal RNA". It matches the Rfam family "Bacterial small subunit ribosomal RNA", at positions 524 to 776 of the family's 1533-position model. The record is from RNAcentral.
UACGGAGGGGGCGAGCGUUAUUCGGAAUUAUUGGGCGUAAAGGGCGCGUAGGCGGCCCGGUAAGUCAAAGGUGAAAUCCCUCGGCUCAACUGAGGAACUGCCUUUGAAACUGUCGGGCUUGAGGCCGGGAGGGGGUAGCGGAAUUCCCAGUGUAGCGGUGAAAUGCGUAGAUACUGGGAGGAACACCAGUGGCGAAGGCGGCUACCUGGACCGGUUCUGACGCUGAGGUGCGAAAGCGUGGGGAGCAAACAGG